RNAcentral lists this ribosomal RNA (483 nucleotides) under uncultured bacterium. RNAcentral's name for it is "partial 16S ribosomal RNA". It matches the Rfam family "Bacterial small subunit ribosomal RNA", at positions 28 to 523 of the family's 1533-position model. The record is from RNAcentral.
GACGAACGCUGGCGGCGUGCUUAACACAUGCAAGUCGAACGAUGAAGGAGAGCUUGCUCUCCGGAUUAGUGGCGAACGGGUGAGUGACACGUGGGCAACCUGCCCUUCACUUCGGGAUAACUCCGGGAAACCGGGGCUAAUACCGGAUAUGACCUCUGCGGGCAUCCGCGGAGGUGGAAAGUUUUUCGGUGAAGGAUGGGCCCGCGGCCUAUCAGCUUGUUGGUGAGGUAGUGGCUCACCAAGGCGACGACGGGUAGCCGGCCUGAGAGGGCGACCGGCCACACUGGGACUGAGACACGGCCCAGACUCCUACGGGAGGCAGCAGUGGGGAAUAUUGCGCAAUGGGCGAAAGCCUGACGCAGCAACGCCGCGUGCGGGAUGACGGCCUUCGGGUUGUAAACCGCUUUCAGCAGGGAAGAAGCCGCAAGGUGACGGUACCUGCAGAAGAAGCACCGGCUAACUACGUGCCAGCCGCCGCGGUAA